AUUUGAAUAGCUUAUAUUUAGAGCGUGACACUGAAGAUGUUAAUGAGAUAUUUAUUAUCUUUAAAUAA
RNAcentral lists this transfer RNA (68 nucleotides) under Brillia brevicornis. RNAcentral describes it as "tRNA-Phe". Lineage: Eukaryota; Metazoa; Arthropoda; Insecta; Diptera; Chironomidae. The record is from RNAcentral.